Molecule: ribosomal RNA, 133 nt
Filed under: uncultured bacterium
Lineage: Bacteria
Description: partial 16S ribosomal RNA
Source: RNAcentral
AGGUUACGUCAAGACUCACGGUUAUUAACCGUAGGCUUUUCUUCUCUACUGAAAGUGCUUUACAACCCGCAGGCCUUCUUCACACACGCGGCAUUGCUGGAUCGGGCUUGCGCCCAUUGUCCAAUAUUCCCCA